This 648-nucleotide ribosomal RNA is filed under the name uncultured fungus. RNAcentral's name for it is "eukaryotic LSU rRNA". The stretch from base 213 to 367 matches the Rfam family "5.8S ribosomal RNA". The record is from RNAcentral. Lineage: Eukaryota; Fungi.
GGAAGGAUCAUUACUGAAUUGUCAAACGGGCUGUUGCUGGUCCUCAAAUGGGGACAUGUGCACGCUCUGUUUACACAUCCACUCACACCUGUGCACCCUCUGUAGUUUUACGGUCUGGGGGACCCUGUCUUCCUUCCGUAGUUCUACGUCUUUACACACACACUGUAAUAAAGUCUUAUGGAAUGUAUGCCGCGUCUAACGCAACACAAUACAACUUUCAGCAACGGAUCUCUUGGCUCUCGCAUCGAUGAAGAACGCAGCGAAAUGCGAUAAGUAAUGUGAAUUGCAGAAUUCAGUGAAUCAUCGAAUCUUUGAACGCACCUUGCGCCCCUUGGAUAUUCCGAGGGGCAUGCCUGUUUGAGUAUCAUGAACACCUCAACUCUCAUGGUUUGCCAUGACGAGCUUGGACCUUGGGGGUUUUGCUGGCCUGUGGUCGGCUCCUCUCAAAUGAAUCAGCCUCCCAGUGUUUGGUGGCAUCACGAGUGUGAUAACUAUCUACGCUCGCGGUUGCCCACCAGGUAACCUUUGGUGACAAAGGUUCGCUGGAGCUCACAGAUGUCUCUCCUUAGCGAGGACAGCUUUUUAACGUUCGAUCUCAAAUCAGGUAGGACUACCCGCUGAACUUAAGCAUAUCAAUAAGCGGAGGAA